GACGAACGCUGGCGGCGUGCUUAACACAUGCAAGUCGAACGGAAAGGCCCUGCUUUCGUGGGGUGCUCGAGUGGCGAUCGGGUGAGUAACACGUGAGUAACCUGCUCUUGACUUUGGGAUAACUUCAGGUAACUGGGGCUAAUACCGGAUAGGAGCUCCUGCUGUAUGGUGGGGGUUGGAAAGUUUCGGCGGGUGGGGAUGGACUCGCGGCUUAUCAGAUAGUUGGUGGGGUAGUGGCUUACGAAGGCAUCGACGGAUCGCCGACCUGAGAAGGUGGCCGGGCACCUGAGGACUACGGUACGCCCCAGAAGGGUACCGGAGGCAACAGUGGGGAGUAUUGCCCAGUGAGCGGGAGUCUGUGACAACAGCGCCGGGUUCGGGAAGACGGCCUGUGGGGGAAGAACCGCUGUCGCCUGGGACGAAGCGUGAGUGACGGUAAUGUGAAAAGAAGCACCGGCUAACUUCGUG
Molecule: ribosomal RNA, 468 nt
Filed under: uncultured bacterium
Lineage: Bacteria
Description: partial 16S ribosomal RNA
Rfam family: Bacterial small subunit ribosomal RNA
Source: RNAcentral